Molecule: long non-coding RNA, 243 nt
Organism: Rhipicephalus microplus (southern cattle tick)
Lineage: Eukaryota; Metazoa; Arthropoda; Arachnida; Ixodida; Ixodidae
Gene: 140up
Source: RefSeq, a predicted model, not a curated record
CGUCAGGAUCAGCACUGACAGUAGGCACCAAGGCAUUGGGGGUGACGGUGCAGGAAUUUAGGUACUGGCAGCAUGACUACUGGAUGCAGGAGUACAGUGAAAAGAAGGCUUUGUGGCUAAAUGAGAAAGCGGAGAGAGAUUCGAAGUCAUCAUAACGUCAGUGCGGAAAGCUUCAAUCUGAAGACCUUGUAUAGCUGUUUAGCUGAAACCAUGUAUUAAAUGCGUUUGGCAAUGGAGACUUGU